Molecule: ribosomal RNA, 253 nt
Filed under: uncultured bacterium
Lineage: Bacteria
Description: partial 16S ribosomal RNA
Rfam family: Bacterial small subunit ribosomal RNA
Source: RNAcentral
UACGGAGGGGGCUAGCGUUGUUCGGAAUUACUGGGCGUAAAGCGCACGUAGGCGGCUUUGUAAGUUAGAGGUGAAAGCCCGGGGCUCAACUCCGGAAUUGCCUUUAAGACUGCAUCGCUAGAACGUCGGAGAGGUAAGUGGAAUUCCGAGUGUAGAGGUGAAAUUCGUAGAUAUUCGGAAGAACACCAGUGGCGAAGGCGACUUACUGGACGACUGUUGACGCUGAGGUGCGAAAGCGUGGGGAGCAGACAGG